Molecule: long non-coding RNA, 470 nt
Organism: Gorilla gorilla gorilla (western lowland gorilla)
Lineage: Eukaryota; Metazoa; Chordata; Mammalia; Primates; Hominidae
Exons: 3
Source: RefSeq, a predicted model, not a curated record
UAUACUUUCUUUUUUUUUUUUUUUCCUUUCCCUUUUCCUGAGACACAGUCCCGCUCUGUCCUCCACUCUGGACUACAGCAGGGCCAUGAUGGCUCACUGCCACCUCCACCACCCCCACCCCCGGGGCUCAAGCAAUCCUCCUGCAUCAGCCUUUGGAGUAGCUGGGACUACCCGCGGGGCCCACCACGCCCGGCUAAUCUUUGUGUCUUUUGUUUUGUUUCUCCGUUAAGAGACCGGGUUUCGGGCCAGGCGCAGUGACUCACGACUGCAAUUCCAGCACCCCGGGAGGCCGAGGCCGGCGGAUCACCCGAGCCAUUUCAGCUUGGUUAAGAAUAUUGCUGGGGAACUAGUGCAGUCAUUUGGAGUACAUGCUCUCCCUCUGCCUUCCGCCAUGAAUGGAAGCUUCCUGAGGCCUUCCCAGAAGCCAAGCAGAUGCCAGCAUCAUGCUUCCUGUACAGCCUGUGGAACUG